Non-coding RNA from Albula glossodonta (roundjaw bonefish), 71 nucleotides. The record is from the annotation of a GenBank genome assembly. NCBI's taxonomy places the organism in Eukaryota, Metazoa, Chordata, Actinopteri, Albuliformes, Albulidae.
GGCAGUGUAGUGUAAUGGUUAGAGAGCUGAGCUUUCACCUCAGGGAUUGCAGGUUCGAUUCCCAUCUGCAA